CCCCUUUUGGCCCCGCCCCCGGCCCGCCCUCCGCUGUUUCCCUCUGCUCUUUCUUUCUCUAUUUUUUCCUCCUCAGCGCUUUCUACCCAGAAUCCCUUGCGAAAACCCUACAAUGAAAUUUAAGAAGUUUUUUAGGUUUCGGCGCCAUUUUCGAUUGGACUGAGAACUGGAACUGAAGCUGAUGUAAAUGUGACGCACUCGGGACAGUUUUGACAACCAUAGAACUACAUAGAAAGGAGAAGCGGGAUGGCGCUCUGAUCCUGAUAAAACAACGUGAUGACCGAGCAGCUAGUGAGACACUAAACCGGUGAUGGUCUGGUAGGACAUCUGUUCCUGGAAAGGAAUUCUCUGGACUGAGGUAGCAGCACAUCAUGGUUUGUAGAAACAAGGAGAUACAGACCAUUCUGAGCUGCCUCUUCACGUCAGAGAUGAGUCGCCCUUCAGAUCCCGGUACAUGAAGAAACAGACUAUUAUUUUUUCUGUAUGUGACCAAUUACAGUUUAGUGCGUAAGAGCUAUUGAUGUUUAAACCUGGAUUAAAAGAUCUUAAAGGGAACCUGUCAUGCUGAAUGUGCAGUCUGAUCUGUCAGCAUCAUAUUUCAUAGAAGGAAGGGGGUCUGCACUUAAAGGGGUAGU
Hyla sarda is the source of this 635-nucleotide long non-coding RNA. RefSeq lists it as uncharacterized. Lineage: Eukaryota; Metazoa; Chordata; Amphibia; Anura; Hylidae. The record is from RefSeq and is a predicted model, not a curated record. The transcript is spliced from 4 exons.